AAAAUAUAUUUCGAUAAUAAUUUUUUUAAUAAAAAUAUAUAAUUUUCUUUAUUGUACUUAUUUUCAUAAUUCCAAAUAAAACGUAAAGCUAAUUGUGAUAUAUGACAGCAAAUCAGGAGCUUAUCAACAAAGUAUUAUUUGUUGGGACACCGUCCACCAAAGUUUUUUUUUUUUUUUUUUUUUUCCUCCGAACUUCACCAU
This 201-nucleotide long non-coding RNA is filed under the name Ananas comosus (pineapple). Its description in RNAcentral is "long non-coding RNA (ACOM_LNC037313)". The record is from RNAcentral. Lineage: Eukaryota; Viridiplantae; Streptophyta; Magnoliopsida; Poales; Bromeliaceae.